CCUACGGGGGGCAGCAGUGGGGAAUAUUGCACAAUGGGCGAAAGCCUGAUGCAGCAACGCCGCGUGAAGGAAGAAGGGUUUCGGCUCGUAAACUUCUAUCAACAGGGACGAAAGAAAUGACGGUACCUGAAUAAGAAGCCCCGGCUAACUACGUGCCAGCAGCCGCGGUAAUACGUAGGGGGCAAGCGUUAUCCGGAAUUACUGGGUGUAAAGGGAGCGCAGGCGGGAAGCCAAGUCAGCUGUGAAAA
This 248-nucleotide ribosomal RNA is filed under the name uncultured bacterium. RNAcentral's name for it is "partial 16S ribosomal RNA". It matches the Rfam family "Bacterial small subunit ribosomal RNA", at positions 338 to 600 of the family's 1533-position model. The record is from RNAcentral.